AACGAACGCUGGCGGCAGGCCUAACACAUGCAAGUCGAGCGAGGACUUCGGUCCUAGCGGCGGACGGGUGAGUAACGCGUGGGAACGUGCCCUUUGCUUCGGAAUAGCCCUGGGAAACUGGGAGUAAUACCGGAUGAGCCCUUUGGGGGAAAGAUUUAUCGGCGAAGGAUCGGCCCGCGUUGGAUUAGGUAGUUGGUGGGGUAAUGGCCUACCAAGCCGACGAUCCAUAGCUGGUUUGAGAGGAUGAUCAGCCACACUGGGACUGAGACACGGCCCAGACUCCUACGGGAGGCAGCAGUGGGGAAUCUUAGACAAUGGGGGAAACCCUGAUCUAGCCAUGCCGGGUGGGCGAUGAAGGCCUUAGGGUUGUAAAGCUCUUUCAGCUGGGAAGAUAAUGACGGUACCAGCAGAAGAAGCCCCGGCUAACUCCGUG
This 433-nucleotide ribosomal RNA is filed under the name uncultured bacterium. Its description in RNAcentral is "partial 16S ribosomal RNA". It matches the Rfam family "Bacterial small subunit ribosomal RNA", at positions 29 to 507 of the family's 1533-position model. The record is from RNAcentral.